Pelobates cultripes (western spadefoot toad) is the source of this 118-nucleotide non-coding RNA. The record is from the annotation of a GenBank genome assembly. Lineage: Eukaryota; Metazoa; Chordata; Amphibia; Anura; Pelobatidae.
GUGGAAAGGGUUUUCAAUCACAAAUUUUCCCCACCAUACUUUUAUUGUGUUCUAUAUAUAGAAGCAAAAACCAAGAAAGUUAUGGUGGGGAAAAAUUGUGAUUGAAAACCCCUUCCUC